Molecule: ribosomal RNA, 483 nt
Filed under: uncultured bacterium
Lineage: Bacteria
Description: bacterial SSU rRNA
Rfam family: Bacterial small subunit ribosomal RNA
Source: RNAcentral
CCUACGGGAGGCAGCAGUGGGGAAUUUUGGACAAUGGGGGAAACCCUGAUCCAGCCAUUCCGCGUGAGUGAAGAAGGCCUUCGGGUUGUAAAGCUCUUUCAGCUGGAACGAAACGGUACGCUCUAACAUAGCGUGCUAAUGACGGUACCAGCAGAAGAAGCACCGGCUAACUACGUGCCAGCAGCCGCGGUAAUACGUAGGGUGCGAGCGUUAAUCGGAAUUACUGGGCGUAAAGCGUGCGCAGGCGGAUUGUUAAGCAAGACGUGAAAUCCCCGGGCUUAACCUGGGAAUGGCGUUUUGAACUGGCAGUCUAGAGUGUGUCAGAGGGGGGUAGAAUUCCACGUGUAGCAGUGAAAUGCGUAGAGAUGUGGAGGAAUACCAAUGGCGAAGGCAGCCCCCUGGGAUAACACUGACGCUCAUGUACGAAAGCGUGGGUAGCAAACAGGAUUAGAUACCCUGGUAGUCCACGCCCUAAACGAUGUC